CAUUUUCCUUGGCAGGGAGUUGAGGGAAUGUUUCCAGCUAGGUUAUGAUAUCUUCAUCGUGCACUGUUAUCAAGGCUUGCAUUUCCUGGUGUCAAGCCACAGAGCUGGAGAUACGCUGCUCUUUCUGCACCAGGGCUAUCCAGAGUUGUAUGCUACGUAUGUGCUGCUCCACAAAGCCCUUUGUUAUUGCUGCAGUCUUCUCCACUGGCUUUCAAAAUAUUCUCCAAACAGAGCAGCUUCAUUUUAGCAAGAAGCAGGACAUAAUGAAUGAUCUAGUCUGGGCUGUACCCCAAGCCUGACACUGCUACCUGCUCUGCAUAGUGUGGUGACUCCUCAGCCAUGGCUCGCCGUGCACACGGGAGGUGAGGAGAGCAGCUGCAGAGCUAGAAACACAGCCAGGAUUUACAUGGUGAAUGAUGUUCUAUGCCUCGCUUCCUCUACCCAGCUCUUCUGCAAUUCUUGUGCUGAACUGGAGCAUGAACCUCUGACAAAUGGGACAGUGUCACCCUUCAUCUGCAAAUGAACAACUGUAUUUGUUCUUCUUAGGCAAAUGAUGCAAUACCUGAGGCCGUUGGCACACUGAACUGAUCUCACAGUUGACUAAUGAGGAGCCAGAGAAGCCAAAGGUGAACAUGAACCAUAUAAUGGGCUUUGAUGCCUUUGUGUGACUUCUUAUGAUCAAGUAGUAUUACAUCAGCAGAAGAGAAGACCAGAAGAGAUUAUAUUCCUCUGGGACUCCCUAAUUUUAGAUUACAGAGCGAGUUAGUCAGAUGAGAGAUGUUUAAAAUGAAUAGGAACUUCUUUCUGUGCACACUUGGGAAUUCCUGGCUUCAAUAACAAAAACCACUAAUAGAACACAGCGGCAAAGAGGAGGCUGAAAUUAUUCUCAUUUCAGUCAAUUUCUGCCCUCACUUACCCCAGUGUAGGCAUGCUCCUUCCUGGUGGCCUGGCUUUGCUGCAGCCAAGGACACUGGGUCACUCCUGGCAGAUCUCCGCUAAUGCUUGCACUGCAGAGCAUCCUGCCCAAUUGCAGCUGGAAAAAUCCAUAUUUUAAUAUAUUUUUUAACAGAGUGUAUUGCAUCCAGUGGUUGAGGC
Long non-coding RNA from Gallus gallus (chicken), 1095 nucleotides. The record is from Ensembl. Lineage: Eukaryota; Metazoa; Chordata; Aves; Galliformes; Phasianidae.